RNAcentral lists this ribosomal RNA (468 nucleotides) under uncultured bacterium. Its description in RNAcentral is "partial 16S ribosomal RNA". It matches the Rfam family "Bacterial small subunit ribosomal RNA", at positions 28 to 507 of the family's 1533-position model. The record is from RNAcentral.
GACGAACGCUGGCGGCGUGCUUAACACAUGCAAGUCGAACGGAAAGGCCCUGCUUUUGUGGGGUGCUCGAGUGGCGAACGGGUGAGUAACACGUGAGUAACCUGCCCUUGACUUUGGGAUAACUUCAGGAAACUGGGGCUAAUACCGGAUAGGAGCUCCUGCUGCAUGGUGGGGGUUGGAAAGUUUCGGCGGUUGGGGAUGGACUCGCGGCUUAUCAGCUUGUUGGUGGGGUAGUGGCUUACCAAGGCUUUGACGGGUAGCGGGCGUGAGGGGGUGACCGGCCACAUUGGGACUGAGAUAGGCCCCAGACUCCUAGGGGAGGCAGCAGUGGGAAAUUUGGCACAAGGGGCGGAAGCCGGAUGCAGCAACGCCGCGGGCGGGGUGACGGCCUUCGGUUUGUAAACCGCUUUCGCCUGUGACGAAGCGUUAGUGACGGUAAUGGGUAAAGAAGCACCGGCUAACUACGUG